GACAGAGGGUGCAAACGUUGUUCGGAAUUACUGGGCGUAAAGCGCGUGUAGGCGGCUGUGUAAGUCGGGCGUGAAAUCCCAUGGCUCAACCAUGGAAGUGCACCCGAAACUGCGUAGCUAGAGUCCUGGAGAGGAAGGUGGAAUGCUUGGUGUAGAGGUGAAAUUCGUAGAUAUCAAGCGGAACACCGGUGGCGAAGGCAGCCUUCUGGACAGUGACUGACGCUGAGACGCGAAAGCGUGGGGAGCAAACAGGG
This 254-nucleotide ribosomal RNA is filed under the name uncultured bacterium. RNAcentral describes it as "partial 16S ribosomal RNA". It matches the Rfam family "Bacterial small subunit ribosomal RNA", at positions 524 to 777 of the family's 1533-position model. The record is from RNAcentral.